This 81-nucleotide transfer RNA is filed under the name Cavernulicola chilensis. RNAcentral's name for it is "tRNA-Tyr". It matches the Rfam family "tRNA". Rfam says of the family: Transfer RNA (tRNA) molecules are approximately 80 nucleotides in length. Their secondary structure includes four short double-helical elements and three loops (D, anti-codon, and T loops). The record is from RNAcentral. Lineage: Eukaryota; Rhodophyta; Bangiophyceae; Cavernulicolales; Cavernulicolaceae.
GAAGGGAUGGCAGAGUGGUUAUUGCGACAGACUGUAAAUCUGUUGAUUUUAUCAUCGUAGGUUCGAAUCCUACUCUCUUCA